AUCCUGGAGUUUUAUUCUAGGUGAUGCCUGCCCGGUGUAAUAAUUAACGGCCGCAGUACUCUGACUGUGCUAAGGUAGCAUAAUUCGUUGGCUUUUAAUUGGAGUCUGUAUGAAUGGCUAAACGUUGAAUCUCUGUCUCUUGUUUAAUUAUUGAAUUUGUUAAUUAGGUGAAAAUACCUAUAAUUUGAGGAAAGACGAGAAGACCCUAAGAAUUUAAAUAUUGUUUUGUUGGGGCAACAUUGAGACAGCUAAAAUUCUCAAUUAUAAAUUAUUAAAUCCGAUUUUUCGUAUAAAAAUAAAUUACCUUAGGGAUAACAGCAUAAUUUAAUAUAAGUUUGUGACCUCGAUGUUGGACUAAGGUUUCUUAGACUAAAAGUUUAAGUAUUUUGCUCUGUUCGAGCAGCUAACCUU
This 411-nucleotide ribosomal RNA is filed under the name Paracingulina terebra. RNAcentral's name for it is "Cingulina terebra partial 16S ribosomal RNA". It matches the Rfam family "Bacterial large subunit ribosomal RNA", at positions 1829 to 2597 of the family's 2925-position model. Lineage: Eukaryota; Metazoa; Mollusca; Gastropoda; Pyramidellidae. The record is from RNAcentral.